AACGCACAUUGCGCCCUUUGGAUUACCGAAGGGCAUGCCUGUUUGAGUGUCAUUAAAUUUAUCAACCUUGCAAUUUAUUGCUUGGAUUGGAUGUGAGGGUUGCAGGCUUCGGUCUGCUCCUUUUAAAUGCAUUAGUGGGAUCUCUUGUGGACCGUCACUUGGUGUGAUAAUUUAUCUAUACCACUCUGACUUUGAAGCAAGAACCUGCUUAUAACCGUCCUUUACCGGACAAAUGAAUCUUUAAUGUGACCUCAGAUCAGGUAGGACUACCCGCUGAACUUAA
Molecule: unclassified non-coding RNA, 283 nt
Filed under: uncultured fungus
Lineage: Eukaryota; Fungi
Description: sequence contains ITS2
Rfam family: 5.8S ribosomal RNA (bases 1-52)
Source: RNAcentral